CACGUAGGGUGCGAGCGUUAAUCGGAAUUACUGGGCGUAAAGCGUGCGCAGGCGGUUCGUUAAGUCAGAUGUGAAAGCCCCGGGCUCAACCUGGGAACUGCAUUUGAAACUGGCAGGCUUGAGUAUGGCAGAGGGGGGUGGAAUUCCGCGUGUAGCAGUGAAAUGCGUAGAGAUGCGGAGGAACACCGAUGGCGAAGGCAGCCCCCUGGGCCAAUACUGACGCUCAGGCACGAAAGCGUGGGGAGCAAACAGG
RNAcentral lists this ribosomal RNA (253 nucleotides) under uncultured bacterium. RNAcentral describes it as "partial 16S ribosomal RNA". It matches the Rfam family "Bacterial small subunit ribosomal RNA", at positions 524 to 776 of the family's 1533-position model. The record is from RNAcentral.